UACAGAGGGGGCGAGCGUUGUUCGGAAUUACUGGGCGUAAAGGGCUCGUAGGCGGCCAACUAAGUCGGAUGUGAAAUCCCCAGGCUCAACCUGGGAACUGCAUCCGAUACUGGAUGGCUUGAAUCCGGGAGAGGGAUGCAGAAUUCCAGGUGUAGCGGUGAAAUGCGUAGAUAUCUGGAGGAAUACCGGUGGCGAAGGCGGCAUCCUGGACCGGCAUUGACGCUGAGGAGCGAAAGCUAGGGGAGCAAACGGG
This 253-nucleotide ribosomal RNA is filed under the name uncultured bacterium. RNAcentral describes it as "partial 16S ribosomal RNA". It matches the Rfam family "Bacterial small subunit ribosomal RNA", at positions 524 to 776 of the family's 1533-position model. The record is from RNAcentral.